CCUACGGGAGACAGCAGUGAGGAAUAUUGGUCAAUGGGCGAGAGCCUGAACCAGCCAAGUCGCGUGAAGGAUGACGGCCCUACGGGUUGUAAACUUCUUUUGUCAGGGAGCAAUUGGGUCCACGCGUGGGCUUAGCGAGAGUACCUGAAGAAAAAGCAUCGGCUAACUCCGUGCCAGCAGCCGCGGUAAUACGGGGGAGGCGAGCGUUAUCCGGAUUUAUGGGGUUUAAAGGGUGCGUAGGCGGAAUAUCAAGUCAGCGGUAAAAAUUCGGGGCUCAACCCCGUCGUGCCGUUGAAACUGAUGUUCUUGAGUGGGCGAGAAGUAUGCGGAAUGCGUUGUGUAGCGGUGAAAUGCAGAGAGAUCACGCAGAACUCCGAUUGCGAAGGCAGCAUACCGGCGCCCAACUGACGCUGAAGCACGAAAGCGUGGGUAUCGAACAGGAUUAGAUACCCCUGUAGUC
This 460-nucleotide ribosomal RNA is filed under the name uncultured bacterium. RNAcentral's name for it is "partial 16S ribosomal RNA". It matches the Rfam family "Bacterial small subunit ribosomal RNA", at positions 338 to 795 of the family's 1533-position model. The record is from RNAcentral.